AGCGAACGCUGGCGGCAGGCCUAACACAUGCAAGUCGAACGAACCUUUCGGGGUUAGUGGCGGACGGGUGAGUAACACGUGGGAACGUGCCUUUAGGUUCGGAAUAACUCAGGGAAACUUGUGCUAAUACCGAAUGUGCCCUUCGGGGGAAAGAUUUAUCGCCUUUAGAGCGGCCCGCGUCUGAUUAGCUAGUUGGUUGAGGUAAUGGCUCACCAAGGCGACGAUCAGUAGCUGUCUGAGAGGAUGAUCAGCCACAUUGGGACUGAGACACGGCCCAAACUCCUACGGGAGGCAGCAGUGGGGAAUCUUGCGCGAUGGGCGAAAGCCUGACGCAGCCAUGCCGCGUGAAUGAUGAAGGUCUUAGGAUUGUAAAAUUCUUUCACCGGGGACGAUAAUGACGGUACCCGGAGAAGAAGCCCCGGCUAACUUCGUG
This 433-nucleotide ribosomal RNA is filed under the name uncultured bacterium. Its description in RNAcentral is "partial 16S ribosomal RNA". It matches the Rfam family "Bacterial small subunit ribosomal RNA", at positions 29 to 507 of the family's 1533-position model. The record is from RNAcentral.